CCGACCUUGAGCGGUGUGGUGGUGACGGUCUGGGUCAGGCGCAAACCAUCAGCCACCAAUACCGUUUCCCCGGGUUCAAAUCCCGGCGGUUGGG
RNAcentral lists this transfer RNA (94 nucleotides) under Pseudomonas sp. AN3A02. Its description in RNAcentral is "tRNA-OTHER". The record is from RNAcentral. Lineage: Bacteria; Pseudomonadati; Pseudomonadota; Gammaproteobacteria; Pseudomonadales; Pseudomonadaceae. RNAcentral also lists the same sequence under 1 other name.